This is an RNA transcript of Arabidopsis thaliana (thale cress), 757 nucleotides long. RefSeq lists it as uncharacterized. NCBI's taxonomy places the organism in Eukaryota, Viridiplantae, Streptophyta, Magnoliopsida, Brassicales, Brassicaceae. The transcript has 2 exons. The record is from RefSeq.
AUUUCCUUCUUUAGAUGGGUUAGUUUGGUUCUAAUCAGGGAAAGCCAUUAAUUUUUCCAUCUAAUCAUUGUAGAAACCUUGCAAUAUUGUGUAUAUGUAAACAUACACAAUCGUAAAUGUUUGGAUAUCAAACUCUUCACAAGUGUUUGUAGGAGAGGAAGUAUAGGUGAGAAAAGAUUAGGGUCAGUCACAGAUUCUGCAAAAAGAGAGGAUUAUCAAGGUACUAUUCAGGAAAAGCGAGAUCAUUCAUAUGUAUCUCAGAUGUAAAAUGCCUUGAGGAUCUGAAGAAACCAACCCAAACUUUUGAUGACGAUGAUGAUGAUGAGGCUUACAAGAAGAGGAAGAAGAAGAACAAGCAAUCAUCUUCAUCUUCAUUUUCUGCAGCUAUUAACAGCAAUGUGAAUUUCUCAAACUACCCUUGUCGAAGGGUCUCUAGUAGCACCCACUGUUCCUCACCUUGUGUUGCUUAGGAAAAAAGAAGCUUACACUUUCUCAAUUUAUUUAGUAGCUCCUUUGGUUUUUAUUCUCAACCCAACACUGAAAACACAAACUUCAGUUCAGUGUGUGGGGGCGUCAUUCAUAUCCAAUUUUUGAUUUUCUUUACUGUUUUUAUGUCUUUUUUUUGUGGUUAUCUUUUUUUCUUGCGCAAAUUAUGUAGAUUUGGAUGUGUUUGUUCCAAUUUGCUUAUUGGGACAAAAAUGUUGGAAAUCCUUUCGAAUGUAAUCAUACGUACGCAUAGAAUUGAAUAAUAAGUGAA